CCUGCCGCGGACUGCUGGGACUCGAAGUCCCUCCCUCUCGCUCCGGGCCUGGCCUAAGGUGAUGGCCACGCCCGGCGACCCAAGGCGCCUCUUCAGGCUAGUGCAAGAGGGCCGGCUGCGAGCCCUGCAGGAGGAGCUGCAGGCCGCUGGGGGCUGCCGGGGUCUGGCAGGAGACACCCUCCUCCAUUGUGCUGCCCGCCACGGGCGCCGGGACAUCCUAACCUAUCUGGUCGAAGCCUGGGGCAUGGACAUCGAGGCCACCAACCGAGACUACAAGAGGCCUCUGCACGAAGCUGCCUCCAUGGGACACCGAGACUGCGUGCGCUACCUGCUGGACCGAGGGGUGGCGGUGGACUGCCUGAAGAAGGCCGAUUGGACUCCUCUGAUGAUGGCUUGCACAAGAAAGAAUCUCGAGGUGAUCCAGGACCUUGUGGGACACGGUGCCAAUCCACUUCUGAAGAACAAAGAUGGCUGGAACAGUUUCCACAUUGCCAGCCGAGAAGGGGACCCUCUGAUCCUCCAGUACUUGCUCACUGUUUGCCCGGAUGCCUGGAAGACAGAGAGCAAAAUUAGAAGAACCCCUCUGCACACUGCAGCAAUGCAUGGCUGUUUAGAAGCAGUAAAGGUGCUUCUUACAAGGUGCCAGUAUGAACCAGACUGCAGAGACAGCUGUGGUGUCACCCCCUUCAUGGAUGCAAUUCAGUGCGGUCACAUUGAUGUAGCAAGGCUGCUCCUCGAAAAACAAAAGGCCUGCUCUUCAGCUGAGGAUAGCCUGGGGGCCCAGGCUCUGCACAAGGCAGCAGUCACUGGGCAGGUUGAAGCCAUCCGAUUCUUGGUGUCGGAUCUUGGCGCCAAUGUAGAUGUGAGAGCAGCAACAACCGGUCUCACAGCACUUCAUUACGCAGCUAAGGAAGGACAUACAGCUGCAGUUCAAACUCUCUUAUCCUUGGGUGCUGACAUCAGUGCUAAAGAUGAAAGAAAUCGAUCAGCUCUGCAUCUGGCCUGUGCGGGGCAGCACCUGGCUUGCGCUGAGUUUCUCCUGCAGUCUGGCCUGAAGGAUUCUGGGGACAUGACGGGCACCCUGGCUCGGCAGCUAACAGAGGAAACAGGUGCCCUUUGGGGCUUCGACCAUAGCCCUGUGACCUAAGAAGACCCACAGGACAAUCGGUUGACAGACUUGAAGUUAUAAGGAACACUGAAAGCAGUGUAUGAGGACAGUAUUGGGGACUGAGAAAAAGCUGUGUGCCCACAGAGAACCAGGGGUGAAUCCCCACACUAUCGCUACCCAGCUGGUGACCUUGUACCAGUUGCAUUUCCUACCUCCGUUUCCUGGAACUCAGACAAGACCGCACGGACGGCUCAGCCCUGCUCCCCAGCGACCGAGGUCUGGGCUGGAAGACCUGAAAGCGAAAAUCUCACGGGUGUGUGGAGUAUGAUGGUGGCUGCCGUCUGGCAAGCCCGGCUCCUCUCUGGAGGGAUCCCUGGGCUCCUGUGAGCUGCGAGAGAGCUGAGCAAGAGCCGCCUGGCCCGGCAGCGCCGAGCUCUGAAAGUCCGGGCGCUUCUUCCCUUCCACCUGCACAGCAGCUCGGUCCCAGCGGUUAAUAAACCGCCUCCUGCUGGGGAGCCGCAGCCUGGGACGGAAACCAGGCGAGCGCCCUCCCUGUGCAGACCCGCACUGCUGCUUCGCUGAAUCGCUGUCCGGUCCUCUUCGCUGGCCUCGCUCCCUCUGCUGCUGCACCUCGCUCCGCGCAGGACUCGCAACAGCCUGGGAAAGCACCAAACGCGAGGGCUCGGACUGCUUCCCCGGGCCUGAGGGCCGGCCCUGCUCGCCUCCCUGCAGCGACUGCUGCCUCCGAGCCGAGCCGAGCUACAACGGCACAGGCCUCCUUUCAGUUCCUCAAACAAAGCCGACCAAAUGUUCGCCUCACUCAGCAUCUGCCUGGACAUUUCUCGUCUUGACUUCUCACGUGGUUUACUCUCAUUGCUUUCUGUUCCCAGUUUAAUAAACUGAGCAGUCCCCGAGCCCAAUUUAAAAGCCCUUCCUGAAAUCCUGUCACCUGAGGAUGUUAUGCUGGUUGAAAUAGGCCAAACACAGAGAAGCAAAUCAAUUUCUUUUUAACCCCAGGGGGGUGAAACUCGGCAAGUGCUCUAGACAUCCCCAGGUUUUGUUUUUGGUGGUGGUUGUUGUUUUGAAACAGAGUCUCAUUAAAUUGCCCAAUAGCCUGGAACAUGGGAUCUUCCUGCCUCAGCCUCUCACGUAGUUCACACAUAGCUUUUUGUAUGUCAAUUAUUUGAUUAAGUGGUUGGAUAGAUAGAUAGAUAGAUAGACAGGUAGAUAGAUAGAUAAGAUCAGGCACUUCCUACUUGUACGUAAUGUCCUGCUUUCGUUUCAUUUGAAUUUAGAUAAACAAUGAAUUUUUUUUAGUAUAAGAAAGUCCCAAAUAUUGCACAGACUAUUUUUAUACUAUAAAAGUGUUUGUUGCUGGUCUAAAAUUCAAACUGAAGUGAUAGUCUUCUUUUUGUUUUCCUUUUUAAAAAAACCUUUUUUAGUACCAGUGGUC
Molecule: RNA transcript, 2561 nt
Organism: Fukomys damarensis (Damara mole-rat)
Lineage: Eukaryota; Metazoa; Chordata; Mammalia; Rodentia; Bathyergidae
Gene: Ankrd16
Gene name: ankyrin repeat domain 16
Exons: 9
Source: RefSeq, a predicted model, not a curated record